Molecule: regulatory RNA element, 100 nt
Rfam family: TPP riboswitch aptamer (THI element)
About the family: Vitamin B(1) in its active form thiamin pyrophosphate (TPP) is an essential coenzyme that is synthesised by coupling of pyrimidine and thiazole moieties in bacteria. The previously detected thiamin-regulatory element, thi box was extended, resulting in a new, highly conserved RNA secondary structure, the THI element, which is widely distributed in eubacteria and also occurs in some archaea. Analysis of operon structures identified a large number of new candidate thiamin-regulated genes, mostly transporters, in various prokaryotic organisms.
Source: Rfam
UAAUAUAUUUCGGGGAGCUAAUGUGCUGAGAGGAGAUUUUAUCUCGACCCUUUGAACCUGUUUGGAUAAUGCCAGUGUAGGGAGACCAGUUAAGAUAAAA